Molecule: ribosomal RNA, 349 nt
Filed under: Paenarthrobacter sp.
Lineage: Bacteria; Bacillati; Actinomycetota; Actinomycetes; Micrococcales; Micrococcaceae
Description: bacterial SSU rRNA
Rfam family: Bacterial small subunit ribosomal RNA
Source: RNAcentral
GGUGUGGGGGACAUUCCACGUUUUCCGCGCCGUAGCUAACGCAUUAAGUGCCCCGCCUGGGGAGUACGGCCGCAAGGCUAAAACUCAAAGGAAUUGACGGGGGCCCGCACAAGCGGCGGAGCAUGCGGAUUAAUUCGAUGCAACGCGAAGAACCUUACCAAGGCUUGACAUGAACCGGAAAGACCUGGAAACAGGUGCCCCGCUUGCGGUCGGUUUACAGGUGGUGCAUGGUUGUCGUCAGCUCGUGUCGUGAGAUGUUGGGUUAAGUCCCGCAACGAGCGCAACCCUCGUUCUAUGUUGCCAGCGGUUCGGCCGGGGACUCAUAGGAGACUGCCGGGGUCAACUCGGA